This 411-nucleotide ribosomal RNA is filed under the name Ichromantis dichroica. RNAcentral describes it as "partial 12S ribosomal RNA". The record is from RNAcentral. Lineage: Eukaryota; Metazoa; Arthropoda; Insecta; Mantodea; Nanomantidae.
GGAUUAGAUACCCUAUUAUUUUUAAUGUAAAUAGGUUAAACUAGAGUAUUAGUAGUUAAGGUCUUAAAACUUAAAGAAUUUGGCGGUAUUAUAGUCUAUUUAGAGGAAUCUGUUAUGUAAUCGAUAAUCCACGUUGGAUCUUACUUAUAUUAAUUUUUGUAUACCGCUGUUUAUUGAAAAUUCUUUCAGGAUAUUUUCUUAAUAAAUCAGUAAUUAAAAUUUCAAGUCAAGGUGCAGUAAUAUAUAAGCUAAUUAAUGGGUUACAAUAAAUUUUAUUUAUUAUGGAUAAUUUUUGUAAUAAUAAUUUGAAGGUGGAUUUAAAUGUAAUUUUUUGAAGAUUAUUUUAAUGAUUAAUAGCUCUAUAAUAUGCACACAUCGCCCGUCACUCUCGUUAUUAAGAUGAGAUAAGUC